UUCUUCAAAGUGAAUCUUCUCUUCAAAACAUUGCGAUCAACUCUUCAAGACUCCAUUCGACUUCACGAAAUUCGCCUACCUAGAAAAUCCUUAACAAUCUCCCCCUUUGGCGAAUUCGUGACAAAACAUAAUACAACGCUCGAACACAACUCAAAAACAAGAAAAAGAGAUCAUCGCAAUCACCAAACGAUAAUCUUUUGCAUAAUCGAUCCAACAAAGAAAAAUUACAUUUUUCUCACAAUUCUAAUACAAACUCUAUGACUUAGACAUGGAGUCUUGAAGUCUUAAACAUUCCUGCAAAAAUAUUCUUAAAACACAAUCAAGAUUCAAGAAAACUUAUCAUAUCAAAAGAUCAAACAUAACAUAGUCAGUCAUAGUUCAUCUAAGUACAUCCACAAAG
Molecule: long non-coding RNA, 400 nt
Filed under: Ananas comosus (pineapple)
Lineage: Eukaryota; Viridiplantae; Streptophyta; Magnoliopsida; Poales; Bromeliaceae
Description: long non-coding RNA (ACOM_LNC024568)
Source: RNAcentral